AUGGUGCUCACGACGCUUCUCCUCCUGGUGCUCCUGGCCGGCCUCGCUGGCUCGAGCCCUCCGCCGGAGCCUGUGGUCUGUGCCCGCGGCACGGCCGACUGCACUGUCUCCAACGCGUUCGGCUCCUUCCUGGACCGCACCGUCUGCCGCGCGGCCAACGCCACCUUCCCGCGCACCGAGAAGGAGCUGGUCGCGGCCGUGGCAGCCGCGUCGGCGGCCAAGCGCAAGGUGAAGGUGGCCACCAAGCACUCCCACAGCUUCCCCAAGCUGGCCUGCCCCGGCGGCAGCGAUGGCACCAUCAUAAGCACGGAGCGGCUCAACCGGGUGGUAAGCGUCGACGUCGCCAAGGGGCUUAUGACGGUGGAGAGCGGCAUGGUGCUCCGGGACCUCAUCCAGGCGGCCGCCGCGAAAGGGCUCGCGCUGCCGCACUCGCCGUACUGGUCAGGGCUCACCAUAGGAGGCCUGCUGGCCACGGGCGCGCACGGCAGCUCGCUGUGGGGAAAGGGCGGCGCCGUGCACGAGUACGUGGUCGGGAUGAGGAUCGUCACGCCAGCGCCGGCCAGCCAAGGGUUCGCGGUGGUACGGGAGCUCUGCGCCGACCAUCCUGACCUCAACGCCGCCAAGGUCUCCCUUGGCGUCCUUGGCGUCGUUUCCCAGGUUACAUUGGCAUUGCAGCCGAUGUUCAAGCGGUCGGUGACAUUUGUGACACGUGAUGACUCAGACAUGGCGGAAAAGGCGGCCAGGUGGGGCGACCUCCACGAAUUCGGCGACAUGGCGUGGCUACCACAGCUCCGCAAGGUCAUUUACCGCGAGGAUGACCGUGUGACCAUCAAGACGGUGGGCGACGGCCUCAAUGACCACCUAGGAUUCCGCUCCAACCCGACGGCCCCGCUCAUUAGCGGCAGAGUCACAAUGGAGCUUCUCGAGAAGAACAUCAAUGCCAUCGCCCGGUGCAAGGCGGCAAAUGCGACGGUAUCGCUAUUCGAGACAGUAGCAUACGGUUUCACCAACAACGGUAGCAUGUUCACUGGCCAAGAAGAUGCACUCCUCACCUCAUGCGCAUGGGACCCACGCAUCCGGGGAACCUUCUUCUACACCAAUGGCUAUAGCAUCGCGCUCUCUAGGGUACCAGCGUUCAUCGCCGACAUGCAACAGCUACGUGACCGUAGCCCGCUAUCCUUUUGUGGAAUCGACGCCAGUGUGGGUAUGCUCCUCCGCUACGUCAAGGCAUCCUCUGCCUACCUCGACAAACCAGAGGACUCAAUCGACUUCGAUAUAUCCUACUACCGGAGUUACAGCAAGGGCGAGCCCAACCCGCACUAUGACGUGCUCGACGAGCUCCAGCAGAUGGCGCUGCACAAGUGCAGCGCUAUCCCGCACUGGGGCAAGAACCGCAACUUUGCCUUUGAAGGCACAAUGGCCAAGCACCCCAAGGCAGACAAGUUCCUGGAGGUGAAGCAGAGGUAUGACCCGGAUGGGAUCUUCUCUAGUGAGUGGAGCGACCAGGUUCUCGGUAUCAAUGGGAGCCCGGCCAUCUUCGAGAAGCAUUGCGCCAUCGAGGGGAUGUGCAUCUGCUCAGAUGACUCACACUGUGCACCAGAGGAGGGCUACUACUGCCUCCCAGGGAAGGUGUACACGGACGCGAGGGUCUGCUCGUUCCAACCCGCUUUCUGA
RNAcentral lists this ribosomal RNA (1674 nucleotides) under Triticum aestivum (bread wheat). RNAcentral describes it as "partial small subunit ribosomal RNA". Lineage: Eukaryota; Viridiplantae; Streptophyta; Magnoliopsida; Poales; Poaceae. The record is from RNAcentral.